UACGAAGGGGGCUAGCGUUGUUCGGAGUUACUGGGCGUAAAGGGCGCGUAGGCGGCGCACCAAGUCAGGCGUGAAAGCCCUGGGCUCAGCCCGGGAAUUGCGCUUGAGACUGGUGUGCUUGAGUACGGGAGAGGAUAGUGGAAUUCCGGGUGUAGCGGUGGAAUGCGUAGAGAUCCGGAAGAACACCAGUGGCGAAGGCGGCCCGCUGGGCAGUGGCUGACGCUGAGGCGCGACAGCGUGGGGAGCAAACAGG
Molecule: ribosomal RNA, 253 nt
Filed under: uncultured bacterium
Lineage: Bacteria
Description: partial 16S ribosomal RNA
Rfam family: Bacterial small subunit ribosomal RNA
Source: RNAcentral